CUAGUUUCAUCACAGAGAUCGUUGAUUGCUGAUGAAUGAAUCUGUAUAGAUGACGAGGGUGAUGGUGUAAUUAUUGAAGUACGAAGGAGAACAAGUAGGAGUUUUAGGUUCAUUGCGUGAGGUGAUAAAUCAGGGAGAGAGUUAGGGUUAGGGUUUAUUCUUGAAGUGAAGAAAUCAUGAGAAGAUGAUGGAUCUGUUGAGAAUGCAGGUGAUUCAUGGCGGUGCUGUUAAAUCAAGUGUGGAUUCAACUUGGCAGAAAUGAAUAAGAGGGGAGUUAGAAGCUAAUGUUGCCUGCCAACUCUUUUGAUGAUUUAAUGUAUUGUUUGCUGUGAUGGUGGAAGGAGGUAUAGCUGAAAUGGGUGCUUGUUUGAGUAUUUGCAGCUGAGUUAGGUGGUGAAUUGAAAUUGCAGGAAGGAUGGAAGGAGGUAGCUGAAAUGGGUGCUUGGUUCUGGUGAUGCAGUUUGAGGUCAUAAGGAAGGAUUUCUAGGUCAAAGAGUAGUGAUGUUGUAUUAUAUGAUAGCAGAAUGAGUUGCAUAAUGGUGGUUGUUUGGAUGUGAAUUUCCGGGAAUAGCAGAAUGAGUUGCAGCUGGGAUUGCAACUAGAUACAGGGAAGUGAUUGAAGCUGCCGAAUGGUGCUCUAAAUGGAUGUUGCUGUUGAAGCUGAAUGGAGGCUGCAGAUGUGAAGAAGAAGUGCGAGAGUAGUUCAUGGGAAAGUAUGGAAUUGUGGAGUUUCUGCUGUGAGAUGGAUGGAGGAUAUGAAGGAUAAGGAAACGGUGGUUCUACUGAGAACGGUGUAGAAGCGGACAUUACAUUUACUACAGGCAUUCAUUUUUCCAUGUGCAGAAAUUACCUUCAUGUCAUUUUUCCAUGUACGGAAGGUCAGUGCUUGGUUGUAGAGAAAGCUUCGAGGUUAUCAAUAUAUGUUUGUUUCCGCUAUGACUGGACUUCCAAACGUGAGAUGGUUUGGUAUUGAAGCGGACUAUAAUUUUCUCGUGAUGGAUUUAAUUGGACCUAAUCUUGAAAGUCUAUUCAACUUCUGCAGUAAGAAAAUCUCUUUAAAGUCUGUUAUGAUGCUUGCAGACCAGAUGGUCAAUCGUGUUGAAUUCGUACUCGCCAAAUCUUUUCUACAUCGAGAUAUUAAGCCAGAUAAUCUCCUCAUGGGGCUUCGAAGGCGUGCAAAUCAGGUGUACGUUGUUGGCUUUGGUUUGGCUAAGAUGUACAGGGAUAUUACAACACAUUCUAUAUAGGGUUGUGGAUGCAGGCAAGAUUAUGGAUGCAGCUGAAGUUGCCGAAAACAAGCUCUUUCUGCUUCAUCCAAAAAUGCAACCAAACUGGAUAGCCAUAGUCGGAAGAAAGAAUGUGGGUUACAAUGCUAAUACACGUCUCCACGAUGCAGGAAAGAAAGAUAAGAUCAUGUUAUCUUUGUAAGUUUGUAAAUAGUGUUGCUUAUAGUGGUUUAUGUUAGAAGAUACUUAAGAACUUGAUACUU
This is an RNA transcript of Papaver somniferum (opium poppy), 1489 nucleotides long. RefSeq lists it as uncharacterized. The transcript has 10 exons. NCBI's taxonomy places the organism in Eukaryota, Viridiplantae, Streptophyta, Magnoliopsida, Ranunculales, Papaveraceae. The record is from RefSeq and is a predicted model, not a curated record.